Molecule: ribosomal RNA, 468 nt
Filed under: uncultured bacterium
Lineage: Bacteria
Description: partial 16S ribosomal RNA
Rfam family: Bacterial small subunit ribosomal RNA
Source: RNAcentral
GACGAACGCUGGCGGCGUGCUUAACACAUGCAAGUCGAACGGAAAGGCCCUGCUUUUGUGGGGUGCUCGAGUGGCGAACGGGUGAGUAACACGUGAGUAACCUGCCCUUGACUUUGGGAUAACUUCAGGAAACUGGGGCUAAUACCGGAUAGGAGCUCCUGCUGCAUGGUGGGGGUUGGAAAGUUUCGGCGGUUGGGGAUGGACUCGCGGCUUAUCAGCUUGUUGGUGGGGUAGUGGCUUACCAAGGCUUUGACGGGUAGCCGGCCUGAGAGGGUGACCGGCCAAAAUGGGAAUGAGAUAAGGGCCAGAAUUCUAAGGGAGGGAGGAGGGGGGAAUAUUGCACAAUGGGCGGAAGCCUGAUGCAGCAACGCCGCGUGCGGGAUGACGGCCUUCGGGUUGUAAACCGCUUUCGCCUGUGACGAAGCGUGAGUGACGGUAAUGGGUAAAGAAGCACCGGCUAACUACGUG